Molecule: ribosomal RNA, 251 nt
Filed under: uncultured bacterium
Lineage: Bacteria
Description: partial 16S ribosomal RNA
Rfam family: Bacterial small subunit ribosomal RNA
Source: RNAcentral
CAAAAUAGUGAUAUGGAGCAAAACCCUAAAAACGGUACUCAGUUCGGAUUGAAGGCUGAAAUUCGCCUUCAUGAAGCUGGAAUUGCUAGUAAUGGCAGGUCAGCAUACUGCCGUGAAUACGUUCCCGGGCCUUGUACACACCGCCCGUCACACCAUGAGAGUUGGGAAUACCCGAAGCCUGUGAGCUAACUGUAAGGAGGCAGCAGUCGAAGGUAGAAUCAAUGAUUGGGGUGAAGUCGUAACAAGGUAUC